AAAUGCAGAUUCCCAGAGCCAGAAGCUAUCUUUUAAUUGAAGCCUAAUCAGUGUACAGUGGAGUUCAGUUCAACUUCUGAAGAGACAAAACAAAGGACAAAGUAAAUUGGAAGCCGAAGCCAUCAUUUUCCUCCUCCUUUUCCAACUUCAGUCCUGUUAAUGCUAAAUAGAUGGUGAGACAUAACAAGCCCAGAAAGCUCCGUGAC
This 206-nucleotide long non-coding RNA is filed under the name Ictidomys tridecemlineatus (thirteen-lined ground squirrel). Its description in RNAcentral is "lncRNA (ENSSTOG00000029339.1)". The record is from RNAcentral. Lineage: Eukaryota; Metazoa; Chordata; Mammalia; Rodentia; Sciuridae.